UACGGAGGAUCCGAGCGUUAUCCGGAUUUAUUGGGUUUAAAGGGAGCGUAGGUUGACGUAUAAGUCAGCUGUGAAAGUUUACGGCUCAACCGUGAAAUUGCAGUUGAUACUGUAUGUCUUGAGUGUACAAGAGGUGGGCGGAAUUCGUGGUGUAGCGGUGAAAUGCUUAGAUAUCACGAAGAACUCCAAUUGCGAAGGCAGCUCACUGGGGUACAACUGACACUGAGGCUCGAAAGUGUAGGUAUCAAACAGG
RNAcentral lists this ribosomal RNA (253 nucleotides) under uncultured bacterium. Its description in RNAcentral is "partial 16S ribosomal RNA". It matches the Rfam family "Bacterial small subunit ribosomal RNA", at positions 524 to 776 of the family's 1533-position model. The record is from RNAcentral.